AUACGGAGGAUGCAAGCGUUAUCCGGAUUUAUUGGGUUUAAAGGGUGCGUAGGCGGCUUGUUAAGCGUGAGGUGAAAUGCCGGAGCUCAACCCCGGAACUGCCUCGCGAACUGGCGAGCUUGAAUUCUCCUGCCGUGGGAGGAAUGUGUGGUGUAGCGGUGAAAUGCAUAGAGAUCACACAGAACACCGAUUGCGAAGGCAUCUCACGAAGGGGCGAUUGACGCUGAGGCACGAAAGCGUGGGGAUCAAACAGGAUUAGAUACCCUGGUAUUCCACGCCGUAAACGAUGAUGACUAACCGUCGGCGAUAGACAGCCGGUGGCCAAGCGAAAGCGAUAAGUCAUCCACCUGGGGAGUACGUCGGCAACGAUGAAACUCAAAUGAAUUGACGGGG
Molecule: ribosomal RNA, 393 nt
Filed under: uncultured bacterium
Lineage: Bacteria
Description: partial 16S ribosomal RNA
Rfam family: Bacterial small subunit ribosomal RNA
Source: RNAcentral